This 575-nucleotide long non-coding RNA is filed under the name Zostera marina. RNAcentral's name for it is "long non-coding RNA (ZMAR_LNC003793)". The record is from RNAcentral. Lineage: Eukaryota; Viridiplantae; Streptophyta; Magnoliopsida; Alismatales; Zosteraceae.
GGAAGCAGAACCAGUCAAAUCAAUAACUCAAGAUAGAGCAGUCAAAUUUGUAUCAAAAACAUAAUCUGCAAAUUCGGAGUUCCGAUCUAGAUCAUUACGGACAACGACACUCAAUUCGCAGGAAAAGCAAUGAAGGCAUUUUGCAAAGACAUCAAUAACAAGCUAAGUUUCGCAUCAGUCCACCAUCCUCAUACUAACGGCCAGGUAAAGGCAGUCAACAAAGCAAUAAUCAAAAUUUUAAAGAGAAAGGCAGGAGACAAUCCAAAAACAUGGGUGAUAGAGACGAUACUUGUAAAGCAAAGAUUAUUGAAGAAGCUCGCUGGCAGUUGGAGCUGUUGUCGCCGGAAUCGUCCACUGGGGGAAAUGAAGAUCGAGAAACUCCAAACGAGGAGAAUGCGAGGGUGCCGGAUCGUCGACCAGAGCGCAAACGGGUCCUGUCAACCCGAUUGCAUGGAUAUGAUUUAAAUUAGGGAUUUCCGUUUUAUUUUAAAUUGAUAUGUUAAGUUGUACCGCAAGACUUGUAUUGCGUUAAGCUGUAGUUUAAGUAAAUGAGACCUAUAAAAGGGAAUAGCUGU